This is a non-coding RNA of Canis lupus familiaris (dog), 83 nucleotides long. The record is from Rfam. NCBI's taxonomy places the organism in Eukaryota, Metazoa, Chordata, Mammalia, Carnivora, Canidae.
GCCUGGUUGGCUUAGUGGUUGAGUAUCUGCCUUUGGCUCAGGUCGUGAUCCCAGGGUUCUGGGAUCCAGUCCCACAUCAGGCU